CGGACGUGAACUGGAAUCGUUGAGAUAGUGCCCCAAUGCUUACCAGUUCGGAUGGCAGCAUCCAGCAGAAUUCCAUUUUGGGAAGCUUAUGUAAUCAUCAUUUUAGAAAUUUAUCAGACAAGGCCAAUACUAGCACUCCCAGACAGGCUAUCUACUGUAGCUGUGAGAUCUCAUGGCAAACCUGGACAGACAGACUUGGUUCAAAUCAACAACUCAACUUGUUAACUCAACAGAUGAUGGCACUAUGUGGCCUUGAUUUGAAAACUAAUUAAAAUUACAGUUUAUUCAGAAUUAUUACACUAGAGGUUAAUUUGGCU
This 317-nucleotide long non-coding RNA is filed under the name Androctonus crassicauda. Lineage: Eukaryota; Metazoa; Arthropoda; Arachnida; Scorpiones; Buthidae. The record is from RNAcentral.